GCGGAAGUGGCGGAACUGGUAGACGCGCUGGGUUCAGGGUCCAGUGGCUUUUAAGCCGUAGGGGUUCAAAUCCCCUCUUCCGCA
Molecule: transfer RNA, 84 nt
Filed under: Caldifarciminota bacterium
Lineage: Bacteria; Pseudomonadati; Caldifarciminota
Also listed under: 3 other names
Description: tRNA-Leu
Rfam family: tRNA
About the family: Transfer RNA (tRNA) molecules are approximately 80 nucleotides in length. Their secondary structure includes four short double-helical elements and three loops (D, anti-codon, and T loops). Further hydrogen bonds mediate the characteristic L-shaped molecular structure. tRNAs have two regions of fundamental functional importance: the anti-codon, which is responsible for specific mRNA codon recognition, and the 3' end, to which the tRNAs corresponding amino acid is attached (by aminoacyl-tRNA synthetases). tRNAs cope with the degeneracy of the genetic code in two manners: having more than one tRNA (with a specific anti-codon) for a particular amino acid; and 'wobble' base-pairing, i.e. permitting non-standard base-pairing at the 3rd anti-codon position.
Source: RNAcentral